Cinara cedri is the source of this 902-nucleotide non-coding RNA. Lineage: Eukaryota; Metazoa; Arthropoda; Insecta; Hemiptera; Aphididae. The record is from the annotation of a GenBank genome assembly.
AUUUAUAAAAAACAAAUUGAAAUAUUUAUCAUAUGUACUUUUGUUUCCAUCACUUGAGUGGAUACAACAAGAGAAUUAAACACGCGCUAUAUUAUAUUAUAUCGCGAACAUCAACGGUCGAUAAAUCUGUUCCGAUAAUUUAUUACGUUGUAGGUGUACACUAGUUUUUUUUCGUCUUAUAAAUACAUCAAGACGUUUUGAAACGCGAUUUUUUAUUCGACUUUUAAAGAUAAAUCCUCGAGAUCUACGCGUUUAGACACGUAUAUACAGGUAGACAAGUGAUGUCUUUAAAAACUGCAACAGCGGUUUACAAAAAAAUAAAACAAACAAACAAAUAUAUACUGUUGAACACAUUAACAUCCUUUUCCGUCCUAAGUACUUUUUUUCCCCUCCCCUACAGCUCAUAUAAUGAAAUUAUCUGUAGCGUAUACGGCAGCGCAUACUACACAACAUAAUAAAUAUAUAUAUUUAUAUAUAGUACGAGUCCUUCAUUUUGUAAUCUCAUUUUCGUUCGUUAAACUUUCUCAAAACGAACCCGUUUCUCUCGUGUACGUAAGGUGCAUCAUAAUACACGUAAACAUUUUCAAAAAUUUAACCAGUAUCUAAUUCCCGAAGUAUUUUUCAGUCUAUUUUUAAGCUACACAUCUAUAUAUUAUAUUAAUAUACACUCUGCUCGUUUAUUUAAUCGUUAUUAGUGAUAUGAUUGAAUCAAACGGAACAAUUUGUGAACUAGAUACAACCUAUAAUUCGGUUGGAAAUAGGUGAAAUAAUAAAUUUCAAUUUUUAAGUAUACAUACAGUUGUAUGGAUUUUGCAGUAUACCGGGAAAACGGAGAAAUUUUAAAAUACUGCACGUUCGAGUAUAUGCAUUCUAGUAAAUAUUUAGUUUAAAAAACAGCUACU